This 474-nucleotide ribosomal RNA is filed under the name uncultured organism. RNAcentral's name for it is "partial 16S ribosomal RNA". It matches the Rfam family "Bacterial small subunit ribosomal RNA", at positions 334 to 799 of the family's 1533-position model. The record is from RNAcentral.
CACUCCUACGGGAGGCAGCAGUGGGGAAUAUUGCACAAUGGGCGCAAGCCUGAUGCAGCCAUGCCGCGUGUAUGAAGAAGGCCUUCGGGUUGUAAAGUACUUUCAGCGGGGAGGAAGGCGAUAAGGUUAAUAACCUUGUUGAUUGACGUUACCCGCAGAAGAAGCACCGGCUAACUCCGUGCCAGCAGCCGCGGUAAUACGGAGGGUGCAAGCGUUAAUCGGAAUUACUGGGCGUAAAACGCACGCAGGCGGUCUGUCAAGUCGGAUGUGAAAUCCCCGGGCUCAACCUGGGAACUGCAUUCGAAACUGGCAGGCUAGAGUCUUGUAGAGGGGGGUAGAAUUCCAGGUGUAGUGGUGAAAUGCGUAGAGAUCUGGAGGAAUACCGGUGGCGAAGGCGGCCCCCUGGACAAAGACUGACGCUCAGGUGCGAAAGCGUGGGGAGCAAACAGGAUUAGAAACCCGGGUAGUCCCAUG